Molecule: ribosomal RNA, 526 nt
Filed under: uncultured bacterium
Lineage: Bacteria
Description: bacterial SSU rRNA
Rfam family: Bacterial small subunit ribosomal RNA
Source: RNAcentral
AACGAACGCUGGCGGCGUGGAUUAGGCAUGCAAGUCGAACGCGAAAGAGGGGGUAACUCCUCGAGUAGAGUGGCGAACGGGUGAGUAACGCGUGAAGAACCUGCCUUCAACAGGGGGAUAACACUCCCAACGGGGUGCUAAAACCGCAUGAGACCACGGGGCUGCAUGGCCCAGGGGUCAAAGGUGGCCUCUACUUGUAAGCUACCGGUUGAAGAUGGCUUCGCGUCCCAUUAGCUAGUUGGCGGNGUAACGGACCACCAAGGCGACGAUGGGUAGCUGGUCUGAGAGGAUGGUCAGCCACACUGGGACUGAGAUACGGCCCAGACUCCUACGGGAGGCAGCAGUCGAGACGGNUUUGGCAAGUGGGGGAAACCCUGACCAAGCGACGCCGCGUGGAGGAUGAAGGCCCUUGGGUUGUAAACUUCCUUUUGUCGGGGAAGAAACGCGAUCAGGUGAACAAUCUGGUCGUUUGACGGGUACCCGGCGAAUAAGCUCCGGCUAACUCCGUGACAGCAGCCGCGGUAAU